This 40-nucleotide ribosomal RNA is filed under the name Crataegus douglasii. RNAcentral's name for it is "partial 26S ribosomal RNA". Lineage: Eukaryota; Viridiplantae; Streptophyta; Magnoliopsida; Rosales; Rosaceae. The record is from RNAcentral.
CGACCCCAGGUCAGGCGGGAUUACCCGCUGAAUUUAAGCA